Elaeis guineensis (African oil palm) is the source of this 1123-nucleotide RNA transcript. It is a transcript of the gene named protein ROH1A, with no coding region annotated. The record is from RefSeq and is a predicted model, not a curated record. NCBI's taxonomy places the organism in Eukaryota, Viridiplantae, Streptophyta, Magnoliopsida, Arecales, Arecaceae.
UUCCCUCUCUCCAGGCCAAUCGUUACCACGGAGUACCAAGGCGGGUCCUCCCUCUCCAUGUCCUUCCGCAGCCGCUCCCUCAUCAGCCUCCGCCGCAACCAAGUCGCCUCCAUGGAGCAAGGCCAAGAACACCAACUCCACGAGCUCGACCUCUUCCUCUCCCACGUCGCUGACCGCCUCCUCUCCCUCCUCCCCCCGGAUUCCCCCAAACACUCCCCCCAGAAGCCUCACCCUCAGCCUCUCCUCUCUCUCGCCUUCCUCUCCAACCUUCUCGACGCCCUCCUCGCCAUCGACGCCGAGUUCCGCCCUCUCCUCCUCCUCCUCCUCAACCGCGGCGGCUCACCCGCCACCGCCGCUACCUCCCGCCCCGUCGCCGACCUUCUCGACCGCGCCGUCAAGUCCCUCGACCUCUGCAACACCGUCUCCCUCUCCCUCCACUCCCUCUGCCACUGGCUCCGCCACGCCCGCAUCGCCUCCUCCGCUCUCCUUCUCCCACGACCCGCCCUCCUCCGCGCCCACCGCGCCCUCUCCAAGCUCCUCCCUUCCGACGCCGGCAUCCUCCGGACCGAGCGAUCGGGAUCCUUCGGCCGGCGGGAGGCGAGCUCGAGAUCUUCGUCUUGGAGCGUGUCGAGGAACUGGUCGGCGCACCUCGCCGCCCCGCGCGGUGGCGAGGGGGAGGGGGGGGCUGGCGGCGGCGGUGUACACGAUGAGCGCCAGUCAGGGUCCAACCUUCUUUAUUUCUUUUUCAAUCCUUCUACACCGUGAAGAGGCAUAUCAGAGAUUGAUGGUACAUCUCUCCGUCAAGAAGAACUCCACAUUGAUAAAGGGGGCUCCAUCUUCGAUGCAUAAUUGGAGGAUUCGGUUCUUUUUUGUUUCUGAUCCUUUUGUAGAGGAGUGGGGAUGUCCACACUGGGGUCAGUCGAGAAAUUCUAACUUCCAGAUCCUGAAGUUGGGAGAUGAAGAUCAAGAGCGCUUUGAGACUUUGAGGAGAUAUAAAGUUCUCCCGCUAAAGGAGUUGCUAUCAAAGCAGUCUCUCUUUAAUAUUGGUGUUAAUCUGGCUGAUCCCAGAGGUGAGGAGAUCUCUAUUUCUCCUCCUGAUGCCUCUUUUGUGGCCUUUCACUGA